GACGAAGGGGGCUAGCGUUGUUCGGAAUUACUGGGCGUAAAGCGCGUGUAGGCGGUUUCCAUAGUCAGGUGUGAAAGCCUUGAGCUCAACUCAAGAAAUGCACUUGAUACUGGGCGACUAGAGGACCGGAGAGGAUAGUGGAAUUCCCAGUGUAGUGGUGAAAUACGUAGAGAUUGGGAAGAACACCAGUGGCGAAGGCGGCUAUCUGGACGGUUUCUGACGCUAAGACGCGAAAGCGUGGGGAGCAAACAGG
This 253-nucleotide ribosomal RNA is filed under the name uncultured bacterium. Its description in RNAcentral is "partial 16S ribosomal RNA". It matches the Rfam family "Bacterial small subunit ribosomal RNA", at positions 524 to 776 of the family's 1533-position model. The record is from RNAcentral.